AUUGAACGCUGGCGGCAUGCCUUACACAUGCAAGUCGAACGGCAGCACGGGAGCAAUCCUGGUGGCGAGUGGCGAACGGGUGAGUAAUACAUCGGAACGUGCCCAGUAGCGGGGGAUAACCCGGCGAAAGCCGGACUAAUACCGCAUACGACCUACGGGUGAAAGCAGGGGAUCGCAAGACCUUGCGCUAUCGGAGCGGCCGAUGUCAGAUUAGCUAGUGGUAGGGUAAAAGCCUACCAAGGCAACGAUCUGUAGCUGGUCUGAGAGGACGACCAGCCACACUGGGACUGAGACACGGCCCAGACUCCUACGGGAGGCGGCAGUGGGGAAUUUUGGUACAAUGGGCGCAAGCCUGAUCCAGCCAUGCCGCGUGCGGGAAGAAGG
RNAcentral lists this ribosomal RNA (384 nucleotides) under uncultured bacterium. RNAcentral describes it as "bacterial SSU rRNA". It matches the Rfam family "Bacterial small subunit ribosomal RNA", at positions 29 to 414 of the family's 1533-position model. The record is from RNAcentral.